Molecule: ribosomal RNA, 773 nt
Filed under: uncultured Neocallimastigales
Lineage: Eukaryota; Fungi; Neocallimastigomycota; Neocallimastigomycetes; Neocallimastigales
Description: partial large subunit ribosomal RNA
Rfam family: Eukaryotic large subunit ribosomal RNA (bases 6-692)
Source: RNAcentral
AUCACUACGCUAGAUGCAUAUCAAUAAGCGGAGGAAAAGAAACUAACUAGGAUUCCCUUAGUAACGGCGAGUGAAGCGGGAAGAGCUCAAAUUUGAAAUCUUCAAGGUUUACCUUGACGAAUUGUAGUUUAAAGAAGUGUUUUCUGUUGGAGUUUUGGUAAAAGUUCUUUGGAAUAGGACAUCAUAGAGGGUGAGAAUCCCGUAUUUGAUCGUUACUUUCCAGCUGUGUGAUACACUUUCAAAGAGUCGGAUUGUUUGGGAAUGCAGUCCAAAAUGGGUGGUAAAUUUCAUCUAAAGCUAAAUAUUGGCGAGAGACCGAUAGCGAACAAGUACCGUGAGGGAAAGAUGAAAAGAACUUUGAAAAGAGAGUUAAACAGUACGUGAAAUUGUCAAAAGGGAAGCGUUUGACACCAGUGUUGUUUCGUCGAAAAUCAAUUCACUAAUUUUUGAUUUUGAGUAGUAUGGACUUCAUCAGCUUGCUCCUUUCUUUAUGAAACUUUCUUAAUGCACUUUUCGGUUAACAAGUCAACAUCAAUUUCUUUUGUUGUAAAAGGGUAUGAGGAAGGUGGCUUUCUUUUCGGAGAAAGUGUUUAUAGCCUUGUACCUCUGCAAUCGGAGAGAUUGAGGUCUGCAGCGUAGAUCCUUCGGGGUUAGAUACAUUUGUGCUAAGCUAUAGUUCUUUAUAGACAACUUGUUGACUAUAAUCAAUCCUGUAACUUACUCGCUUAUGCUAUUUUACCUACGCUUAGGAUGUUGACACACGCGCGUGCUCG